Molecule: ribosomal RNA, 253 nt
Filed under: uncultured bacterium
Lineage: Bacteria
Description: partial 16S ribosomal RNA
Rfam family: Bacterial small subunit ribosomal RNA
Source: RNAcentral
UACGUAGGGUGCGAGCGUUGUCCGGAAUUAUUGGGCGUAAAGAGCUCGUAGGCGGUUUGUCGCGUCGGCCGUGAAAACUUGGGGCUUAACUCCAAGCUUGCGGUCGAUACGGGCAGACUUGAGUUUGGCAGAGGAGACUGGAAUUCCUGGUGUAGCAGUGAAAUGCGUAGAUAUCAGGAGGAAUACCGAUGGCGAAGGCAGGUCUCUGGGCUAUAACUGACGCUCAUGCACGAAAGCGUGGGGAGCAAACAGG